RNAcentral lists this ribosomal RNA (779 nucleotides) under uncultured Neocallimastigales. Its description in RNAcentral is "partial large subunit ribosomal RNA". It matches the Rfam family "Eukaryotic large subunit ribosomal RNA", at positions 19 to 634 of the family's 3401-position model. The record is from RNAcentral. Lineage: Eukaryota; Fungi; Neocallimastigomycota; Neocallimastigomycetes; Neocallimastigales.
CGAGCACGCGCGUGUGGCAUAUCAAUAAGCGGAGGAAAAGAAACUAACAAGGAUUCCCUUAGUAACGGCGAGUGAAGCGGGAAGAGCUCAAAUUUGAAAUCUUCAAGGUUCUACCUUGACGAAUUGUAGUUUAUAGAAGUGUUUUCUGUUAGUAGGAGUGGCAAAAGUUCUUUGGAAUAGGACAUCAUAGAGGGUGAGAAUCCCGUAUUUGGUCAUUCUCUUCCUAGCUUUGUGAUACACUUUCAACGAGUCGGAUUGUUUGGGAAUGCAGUCCGAAAUGGGUGGUAAAUUUCAUCUAAAGCUAAAUAUUGGCGAGAGACCGAUAGCGAACAAGUACCGUGAGGGAAAGAUGAAAAGAACUUUGAAAAGAGAGUUAAACAGUACGUGAAAUUGUCAAAAGGGAAGCGUUUGACACCAGUGUUGUUUUUCCGAAAAUCAAUUACGAAUGUUUUGUUUUUGAGAAGUUAUGACUUCAUCGGCUUGCUCUCUUCUUUACGAAACUUUCCUUAAUGCACUUUUCGGUUAACAAGUCAACAUCAAUUUCUUUUGUUGUAAAAGGGUAUGAGGAAGGUGGCUUUCUUUUCGGAGAAAGUGUUUAUAGCCUUGUACCUCUGCAAUCGGAGAGAUUGAGGUCUGCAGCGUAGAUCCUUCGGGGUUAGAUACAUUUGUGCUAAGUUAUAGCUUUUCAUAGACAACUUGUUGACUAUGUUAAGGUCUUGUAGCUUACUCGCUUAUGCUAUUUUACCUACGCUUAGGAUGUUGAACUCUAUCACACACAG